RNAcentral lists this ribosomal RNA (462 nucleotides) under Mycoplasmopsis felis. Its description in RNAcentral is "bacterial SSU rRNA". It matches the Rfam family "Bacterial small subunit ribosomal RNA", at positions 36 to 492 of the family's 1533-position model. Lineage: Bacteria; Bacillati; Mycoplasmatota; Mycoplasmoidales; Metamycoplasmataceae. The record is from RNAcentral.
CUGGCUGUGUGCCUAAUACAUGCAUGUCGAGCGGAGUUCUUUUAGGACUUAGCGGCGAAUGGGUGAGUAACACGUACUUAACGUACCUUUUAGUUUGGAAUAACGGUGAGAAAUUAUCGCUAAUGCCGGAUACUUUUUUAUUUCACAUGAGAUUUAAAUAAAAGGAACUUCAAAGUUUCACUAAAAGAUCGGGGUGCGGAACAUUAGCUAGUUGGUAGGGUAAAGGCCUACCAAGGCGAUGAUGUUUAGCGGGGGUGAGAGACUGAUCCGCCACACUGGGACUGAGAUACGGCCCAGACUCCUACGGGAGGCAGCAGUAGGGAAUUUUCCACAAUGGGCGAAAGCCUGAUGGAGCGACACAGCGUGCAGGAUGAAGGCCUUCGGGUUGUAAACUGCUGUUAUAAGGGAAGAAAAAAUAUUAUAAGAAAAGAUAAUAUCUUGACGGUACCUUAUCAGAAAGCA